AGGCCCCGUCUGGCCCCCAGGAGAGUGACCAGUGGGCACCUCCCAGAAUGACUUCACUGGAGCCCAAACAUGGGAGCCAGCGCAGGGUCAGACCCCCUAACUUCGCCUCCACAACCUCAUUAUCCAGAGAUCCAGGUGACACUGGACAAGGCUGAGCCCCUAAAUCACACCCAAUGGCUUUAUCUGACCCUCUCAACAGACCCAGUACUUUCAGCCAGUGACUGUUAUUUUUUAGGGUCAACCACCAACUCAGUUUUCCCAUUCUGAUUCAUCAAACACAGGGGGAGGCCUGCGGCUGAAGCAAAUGGUACAUGUCAAAGAGUGGUCCCCGGACCAGCAGGAUCAGCAUCAUUAGAAACACAGGUUCUCAGGGUCCAUCCUACAUCUGCUGAAUCAGAAGCUCUGGGAAAGGGGUCCGCAGUCUUCUGUUUCAACAGACCCUCCAGGUGAUGCUGGUGCACACUCAGAGUUGAGAACAGCACUGCAGGAUCUAUCUAUCUGUCCUCAGCUGGGCCCUUUCUUCAACUCAUUCACGGCAGGAUAAAGGCCACUUAAGUAGUACGUGCAAAGAGAGACUUUAACCUCAAGAAAUGUUUGACCAUCCUAGAAAAAUGAUGCCUGGAGCAAGAGGCGGAGAGAAAGGAAUGGGAAAAGAGCUCUCCUGCAUGGCUUCCUUGUCUUCCCAGCACCCACCUUCAUUCUCAUGUCCCUGGCAUAUUUCUCCAGCUCCUUCCUUAUGUCAGCCCUCAGCAUCUUUGAGACGUUGAGGACCAGCUGCUUCCACUCAAUGGGCUGGAAGCUAUGAGGCUCAUGGGGGACGUACAGUCCAAUCUUGACCUUCUUGACUGUGUGUAGGUAUUUCUUGUAGGAGUCCUCAAAGUCAAAGAUGAGGUCACUCAGAGUCCGAAAAGUCAAUGGCUUGUCCAUCAGCUCAGCCCUGCGGCUCAUACCCAGUGAGCCAUAGCGGCCAUUGCAGUAAAUCCCCAGUACAACGUGGUGAAAGUAGUUUCCUGAGAAGUAGGUUUUAAAGCUGAUGGGGAACCGCUCGAUGGAAGGCUGUCCAUUGGUUAAGUAGCUUAGACAAUCCGAGUCAAGGAAGAGAAAGGAGGCCUUGAAAAUUCGGAGCCUGGAUGUACAGGAAGGGAAAGUGUCUCACAGGGGUCAGUGAGUCCAUCCCCCUGCCUCUGCGCAGGCCCACAUCUAACUUUUCCAGACUAAUCCUUUUAUAAAGCAUUCGCUUGUUGUCUUUGACUAUCUACUAUAUGUUGUAUAUCCAAACCAAGUUAAUAUGAGACAAAAAGAAAAACUUG
This is a non-coding RNA of Macaca mulatta (Rhesus monkey), 1310 nucleotides long. The record is from RefSeq and is a predicted model, not a curated record. Lineage: Eukaryota; Metazoa; Chordata; Mammalia; Primates; Cercopithecidae.